AGUGAACGCUGGCGGUAGGCCUAACACAUGCAAGUCGAACGGCAGCACAGAGGAGCUUGCUCCUUGGGUGGCGAGUGGCGGACGGGUGAGGAAUACAUCGGAAUCUACUCUGUCGUGGGGGGUAACGUAGGGAAACUUACGCUAAUACCGCAUACGACCUACGGGUGAAAGCAGGGGAUCUUCGGACCUUGCGCGAUUGAAUGAGCCGAUGUCGGAUUAGCUAGUUGGCGGGGUAAAGGCCCACCAAGGCGACGAUCCGUAGCUGGUCUGAGAGGAUGAGCAGCCACACUGGAACUGAGACACGGUCCAGACUCCGACGGGAGGCAGCAGUGGGGAAUAUUGGACAAUGGGCGCAAGCCUGAUCCAGCCAUACCGCGUGGGUGAAGAAGGCCUUCGGGUUGUAGAGCCCUUUUGUUGGGAAAGAAAUCCAUCUGGUUAAUACCCGGGUGGGGUGACGGUACCCAAAGAAUAAGCACCGGCUAACUUCGUGCCAGCCGCCGCCGUAA
This 506-nucleotide ribosomal RNA is filed under the name uncultured bacterium. RNAcentral's name for it is "partial 16S ribosomal RNA". It matches the Rfam family "Bacterial small subunit ribosomal RNA", at positions 29 to 523 of the family's 1533-position model. The record is from RNAcentral.